CGACAACACGGUUACAAUAUUCCAUGCGAAAUCUUCAACAAGUUCAAGGACAACAAAGGGAACUUCAGCAAAUCACUCAUCGCUGAUGUGCAAGGAUUGCUAAGUCUAUUUGAAGCUUGCCAUCUAGGAUUUCAUGGUGAUGUUAUUUUGAACGAUGCACUUGCUUUUACUAUCACUCUCCUUGAAUCAAUUGACAAAGGAAAAGUAACCGGUAAUCUCGAUAAACAAGUGAUUCAUGCCCUAAACCAGCCAAUCCACAAGGGAUUGCCAAGGGUAGAGGCAAGGCAUUACAUUCAACUCUACCAAGAGGAGCCUUCACAUAAUGAAGUCUUGCUUUCCUUGGCAAAACUUGAUUUCAACUUAUUGCAAGAGCAACACCAGAAGGAACUUGGCAACAUUACAAGGUGGUGGAAGGAUUUAGAUGGAGAGAGAAAGUUUCCGUUUGCCAGAAAUAGGCUUGUGGAGCUGUAUUUCUGGAUGU
This is a long non-coding RNA of Eucalyptus grandis, 481 nucleotides long. RefSeq lists it as uncharacterized. The transcript has 3 exons. The record is from RefSeq and is a predicted model, not a curated record. NCBI's taxonomy places the organism in Eukaryota, Viridiplantae, Streptophyta, Magnoliopsida, Myrtales, Myrtaceae.